This is a long non-coding RNA of Coccinella septempunctata (seven-spotted ladybird), 1216 nucleotides long. RefSeq lists it as uncharacterized. NCBI's taxonomy places the organism in Eukaryota, Metazoa, Arthropoda, Insecta, Coleoptera, Coccinellidae. The transcript is spliced from 2 exons. The record is from RefSeq and is a predicted model, not a curated record.
UGAUUCCACUAACUCAUUUAGUGACAAAGAAAAUCAAUUUUCCUUAUGCUUUGAGGAAAUCUACACCGCAUAGCUUCCAUAAACUUGAUUUUGAGGUAUUCAACACGAUCCACUUCUGGCUUGAGUGUCUGCCGAAUCGUUGAAUAUGGAGACCUUGACUUUAGUUCUAUUCCAAAUGAAUUAAAAUGGGGGAAAAACUGACGAUAGCGUAUUCAAUUUGUUAUAAGUUGUGAAGAAUGUUCAAUUGCAGAGAAAGGAAAACGGAAAAUCUGAUAAAUAUUAUUCUUCUUUCAAAUGAUUUGAAAUUGGGUCUAUCUAGCAUAUAUACUAGUAUCUGGGAAUCUUAGUCUGAACAAAGUUGCGAGAAAUAUUGUAGAACUCCCGGAAAGGGGAUCUAACGAAAGACUCGAAUGAGUCGAAUAUUGUGAAUUCCAGAGUUCAAGUCCAUGGAAACAUGAACCUCGUGCUUGUUGCUGAAAUAUUCGCCCUACAGAAAAAUUGGAAAAGUUUUCACAAGCUUCAAUAAAGUAGAUAGCAGAGACAAGUUCUCUAUGGUCACAAAGGAAGAUAAUAGUACAAAUUUAGAUAAUGAGAAUAGACAUGAAGUACUGCACGCUAUCAUUAUUAUUUGCCCAAGGAUUCUACGUGUCUACUCUCAUUGAGUUUCAUUGGUAUUCCAACAAUUCAUUAUUUAGCGAAAUUCGCCGGCUGGGCUAGGAAAAUAUGGUUCGAACUAUGUAUUUGUUAUUUAUUCACUUCAGUAUCCUAGAUUACGUAAAGGACACGUUCAGUAUGACCUCAAAAAAUCGACAUGAUAUUGCAUCGAGCAUCAAUCAAGCGGGCGUGUUAACGAUAAACGAAUUUUCCAAUACUUUGGCCAUUUCGAUGAAAUGUCGCACUUAAUUUUCUGAUAAGCGUUAAAUCCAGUUCACUUAUAUUAGUUAAUGAGUUCGAAAACAAAUACUUGCAGACAUAAAAAGAAUCAUUAAAAUUUCAUAUAGCAUACUUAUAUUGAAAAGUGAUAUAACAAUUAGAAGUAGGUGAAAGCAGUGUGCAGAUUAUGUUCAUUAGAAAAAAAUGUUACUCGCUUCGAUACAAAUUUCGAUUGUUCCUUAUAUGAUUAGUGAAAGGUAGACUUGCUGUUUAAUAAUUAGUGAAAAUAUUACUAGAAAACUAAAUUGAAAUUCAGGAUCAGGGAAUAAACAUUAUUAUCCUU